AACGAACGCUGGCGGCAUGCCUAACACAUGCAAGUCGAACGAGACCUGCUGGUCUAGUGGCGCACGGGUGCGUAACGCGGGGGAACCUGCCCUUAGGUUCGGAAUAACUCCCCGAAAGGGGUGCUAAUACCGGAAAAUGUCUUCGGACCAACGAUUUAUCGCCUUUGGAUGGGCCCGCGUUGGGUUAGCUAGUUGGUAGGGUAAAAGCCUACCAAGGCGACGAUACAUAGCUGGUCUGAGAGGAUGGUCAGCCACACUGGGACUGAGACACGGCCCAGACUCCUACGGGAGGAAGCAGUGGGGAAUAUUGGACGAUGGGCGAGAGACUGAUCCAGCAAUGCCGCGUGAGUGAUGAAGGCCUGAGGGUUGUAAAGCUCUUUUACCCGUGAUGAUAAUGACAGUACCGGGAGAAUAAGCCCCGGCUAACUCCGUG
This 433-nucleotide ribosomal RNA is filed under the name uncultured bacterium. RNAcentral describes it as "partial 16S ribosomal RNA". It matches the Rfam family "Bacterial small subunit ribosomal RNA", at positions 29 to 507 of the family's 1533-position model. The record is from RNAcentral.